GCAUCGGUGGUUCAGUGGUAGAAUUCUCACCUUCCAUGUGGGAGACGUAGGUUUGAUUCCCAGCCAAUGCA
Molecule: transfer RNA, 71 nt
Filed under: Loxodonta africana (African savanna elephant)
Lineage: Eukaryota; Metazoa; Chordata; Mammalia; Proboscidea; Elephantidae
Rfam family: tRNA
About the family: Transfer RNA (tRNA) molecules are approximately 80 nucleotides in length.
Source: Rfam by way of RNAcentral